RNAcentral lists this transfer RNA (77 nucleotides) under Haemaphysalis longicornis (longhorned tick). It matches the Rfam family "tRNA". From Rfam's summary of the family: Transfer RNA (tRNA) molecules are approximately 80 nucleotides in length. Their secondary structure includes four short double-helical elements and three loops (D, anti-codon, and T loops). Lineage: Eukaryota; Metazoa; Arthropoda; Arachnida; Ixodida; Ixodidae. The record is from Rfam by way of RNAcentral.
CCGCCGGUAGCGUAGUGGUUAUCGCACCAGACCGGUAUUCUGGAGGAAGGUCGUGGGUUCGGAUCCCACCUGGCGGG